AAAAAAAAUUCUCUUACAUCUUUGUGUUGUGAGGCAACAGAUUGUAGCACUAUGCCCAAGACAAAUUUCCCCUUGGGGACAAUAAAGUGUAUUCUAUUCUCUUCUAUUGUAGCUUUCUAUAGAAACA
Long non-coding RNA from Etheostoma cragini (Arkansas darter), 127 nucleotides. RefSeq lists it as uncharacterized. The transcript is spliced from 3 exons. The record is from RefSeq and is a predicted model, not a curated record. NCBI's taxonomy places the organism in Eukaryota, Metazoa, Chordata, Actinopteri, Perciformes, Percidae.